CACGUAGUUAGCCGGGGCUUCUUCUGCAGGUACCGUCGAUGUUCUUCCCUGCUGAAAAGCGGUUUACAACCCGAAGGCCGUCAUCCCGCACGCGGCGUUGCUGCGUCAGGGUUUCCCCCAUUGCGCAAUAUUCCCCACUGCUGCCUCCCGUAGGAGUCUGGGCCGUAUCUCAGUCCCAAUGUGGCCGAUCGCCCUCUCAGGCCGGCUACCCAUCGCAGGCUAGGUGGGCCGUUGCCCCGCCUACUACCUAAUGGGCCGCGACCCCAUCCCGCACCGUCGGAGCUUUCCUCCGUGGCGCAUGCGCGCCUCGGAGAGUAUCCGGUAUUAGCCGCCGUUUCCGGCGGUUGUCCCCGGGGGUGCGGGGGUCAGGUUGGUCGACGUGUUACUCACCCGUUCGCCACUGUAUGUCCGCCCCGAAGGGCGGUUUAACCGUUCGACUUGCAUGUGUUAGGCACGCCGCCAGCGUUCAUCUCGAGCCAGGAGUCAAACUAC
RNAcentral lists this ribosomal RNA (492 nucleotides) under uncultured Coriobacteriaceae bacterium. Its description in RNAcentral is "partial 16S ribosomal RNA". The record is from RNAcentral. Lineage: Bacteria; Bacillati; Actinomycetota; Coriobacteriia; Coriobacteriales; Coriobacteriaceae.